This is a long non-coding RNA of Populus trichocarpa (black cottonwood), 1400 nucleotides long. RefSeq lists it as uncharacterized. The transcript is spliced from 2 exons. Lineage: Eukaryota; Viridiplantae; Streptophyta; Magnoliopsida; Malpighiales; Salicaceae. The record is from RefSeq and is a predicted model, not a curated record.
UAAGACUGUUACAAUGUGAAGCCCAUUUGUAUCCCAUUGCCAGUGAAACAGUAGGAAUUACUUCCACCAAUCUAAAACAUAUUCGCAGCACCAGAGCUCAAAGACAUGAAUCUCUGUGAAAUCGCCUAAGGUCGAGUUGCUUAUGUAAUAGGCAACCAACCUGCCUAAUGCAAACAGAAGAACAAAGACCAUUCACGCAUACCCAUUACCUGUUUAGCAUGUUUUUCAAAUUCCAAAGCCAAACUAAUCAUCCUACCCAUCAUCAUCAUCACCACCAUCUCCCUUCACCACCUUCCUUCAUCUCCUUCACCACAUACCACCCAUUAUUUCGGGUCCACGUUCUACAAGUGCUGAUUGGCGCAGAGCAACCAGUGCUUGAAUCCUCAGCUACUUCAGAUACCUGUAAUCCAAUCCAAGCAUGGCAUACACAUUUUAACUUCUAAAUCUUAUUAUUGAGCGAAACAAGAAACAAACACACAAAAAGAAAAGCAACAAAUCAAGACAAUUCAGCAGCACCUCUGAUUGAGCUCUUAUUGAACCAUUUGGUGUAGUAGCAAAUUUUGUGAUCAGCUUUGGGCAUUCAAACACCUCCAACUUCUCUAAAUGAGGGAAUAAGAAAUCAUAACAUCCGAGACUGAAGCAUACAAUUCUUGAUAAUUGUUCUAGCAACAGCACCUGCAGAUUCGGGAGCUCCAUCACCUUCUCAACAUUGACAGGUUCAGAAGACUUGGAGACACAGAGACAGGGAAGACAUAUUCCAGUUUACCACAGUAACUUAUAGAGAGACUUCUUAAUUUUGGGAAGCAAAGUGACUCUGUAGUUAUUUCCCUUGCAUCAUCUUUUUCUCUGAUAAGAUGCUUCAAUUCACCGCAACUACCUAUGUUAAGGCUUUCUAGCUUUGGCAGACUUUGAGCGAGGGACAGUGUGAAGAUAAAUAUCAAUUUGUUGAGAGAAAUCAAAUUCAGAUGAGCAAGAUUUUGAAGGCUGACAUGGUUGGCGGGCCCUUCCAUAAACAUUUGAGCUCAGGUAACUUGAUCAGCUGUAACUCUGUAAAAGAUGACAGCUCCUUCUCCUCACUGCUUCCUUCAUCAACCUCACCCAAUUCAAAUACCUCUUCCAAUGAUUUGCAGUCGCAAAUGUGCACACUCCUUAGAAUACUUGUCUCAUAGUUGAGUUGGUUAAUGUAUGUUGAUUGAUCAGAAGGUAGUGGGUUCAAGCUAUACUAGGAAUAAUAUUAUGUUUUUUCAAAUUACUAGCAAAGGCGUGUGGGCUUGUCUAAGGCUCACAUGCACGUGCCUGAGUUUUGUUGUAAUAGGACGAGUCAUGUGUUUGGUUUUUUUUUUUUAUUAGUCAUUUUAGUUUUUAUUUUUUUAAUAUAUUUUUUGAAUUUUAUUUUUUAA